RNAcentral lists this long non-coding RNA (1062 nucleotides) under Capsella rubella. RNAcentral's name for it is "long non-coding RNA (CRUB_LNC003898)". Lineage: Eukaryota; Viridiplantae; Streptophyta; Magnoliopsida; Brassicales; Brassicaceae. The record is from RNAcentral.
CAAUAUUCAAUAACCACAAUUUACACCAUCAAUCUAUCAUGUCUCUAAACCAUGUUCCAACAACAAUUCAACAUAAUCAUAAACAUAACAACUGAAACCCUAGAUCAUCCUCCUCUUCAUUGCCAUGAUUCCACGUCACACUUUACCUGCACCACAAACACAAUGAGAUGCGUGGGUAUUAUCAUAAAUACUCAACGAAGUCCUCUCAUCUAUUAGGCUAUACACACAAGCAUAUUAAACCAAAUCAAUAAGCAUCAGAUUAACCAAAUCAAACAAACCAGCCAUAAAAAACACGAAUUACUCGCAGUCUAGAAAUUGCUGCCCAGAAAAACUGUCCAAAAUUGGUGUCGACCGAUACCCACACAUGUGGCGAUCAACACUACCUCCGCAAAAGCCCUGAAAUCGCUUCUCAACUCUUCAAAGAGCAAAUUCAGCACCUCCAACGCUCCAGCCAUGAACCCUAACACUCAAUCAUGCAAAUUCAGCAACCAAAACACACAAAUAAGUCACACACAACAAUUUCCAGCCAUCCAAAUCAAUCCUACACAUUAUAAGGGUUUAACAUGCUCAGAUGAAUCAUGGUCACGCACUCACCCUUGAUAUGGAUUGAAAGGAUGGGCAAAACAGAGAAGAAGAACACUCCAACAACCUCUCUUCAAACCCAAAGCCACGAAUCCCACUGAUCUCUUGCUAGAACACCCAAGAACAGCCUCCGGAAGCCUCCAGAAUUCCCUCGCAAACCUCACCUUAGCACCUUAGGAUCCACCUUCCCUCACAACACUCUCUUCUCUAUUUUAGAAAGAGACAAAACACCAAAAAGAGAAGAAGAAAGACGGCUGCUCGAGUUUUAAUCGACCUAGGAUUGCUCUCAAACCAAAAUUAAGUCAACCCAACACUGAUGUCGGUCGACACAACCAAAAUUUCAGACACGGGUGUUACAAAAACGACCAUAAAAAACAUCAGUAUUGAGCUUCGGCUUUUAAACUAGAUACCCUUAGUAAAAUUAUCAUAACAAAAAAGCAUAAGAGAGAGGUUGUGAGAUCCUAGUUUGCGGAGAGAUUU